CCUGCCUAGGGAGCCCAGAGGCAGGACAUUCGCCUGGCGGGGGUGGGGGGGCAGUGACCUCACACUGGUUUUCAGCAGCCCUCAGCGUAUAAGGCAAAAGGAAGGAGGGGAGGUGGUGACCUCACAGAGGGACCCACAUCUCAGGCUGAUAAAGGGGGGGCGGGCCCAGGGGACUUUGGAGACCCCCGGUUGCUUUAGCUCUGGUGCGUCUCCUCCUCACGGGUCCUUUGUGCUCUGUGAGUUCCACAUCCCGACACCUUUGUGCAGAAGCUAAGAGCCCCCAGGGGUUGGAUCCCGCCCGGGGCCGGCUGGGUUCCAGGCAGGCCCAGCCCUCGGUCUAGAGCUAGAAGGAGAUUCCCCACCUGGGCUGCGUCCUUAGCACCACUGGGGCUUUCUCCUGGUUGGUUUCCCUUUUCCUCCAUCCCCCCACAUUUGUCCUCAGUUCUUGCCUUUUUGUGCCCUUCCCCUGCUGCCCACCCCGCAGCUUGUGACCCAACAGACUAGCUGACUGAAUUUUGGGAGUUAUUAGGAAAGAAAUAGAUAAUUCUAUAAAGGCGAAAUAAUAUUUUCUGUGUUAAGUCACUGUGAGCCCUCAUGUGAAAUCCUGGUCACCCCAUCUAAGCAAAAGGGACAGAAAGGGAAACAGAAAUGAUUUUGGGGAAAGAAACAGCUUCCAUGUGAGAAGAGAUGAGCAAGCCUGAGACCUUUCAGCUUGGAAAAGAAAUGACCAUGGGUGGGAGAUCAGUUCCAUGUCUAGAAAAUCAUGAAUAGUGAAGAAAAACAGAAUGACACACCUGGCUGGCUAAGCGUUCUCAGAGAGGAGUUAUCAACAAUUCUCAGUCAUGCUGGAAGGGCAAAACCAGUGGGGUUCCACGGGGUUUAGUUCAAUAUCUUCAUCAAUGAUUUAGAUAUUAGCGUAGAGAAGACGCUUAUCAAGUUUGCAGAUGAAGCCAACUUGCAGGAGGAAUAACAGUAGUUCGAAUUAGGAGCUUUAAUUCAAACUACCGGGUCCCUGCCGCGUGUAGCCACAGGCAGUUAGUCCGGACUACGGGGCAUUUAAAAUUUCACCCAUCUGGGAACGUGCAAAUGAAAUCUGGGAUAUUUAAAUCCCAGGCUUCAUUUGCAAGUUCUAAUGCCUAUAUUAGCCUCCCUAGUCCAAACUAGGGGGCUAGUUUAGACAUACCCUACGGCAGGGAAGGGGGGAUGUUUGGACAACUCACAGCUCCCACCUCCUCUUCUGGGAGGCCUGAGGCCUGCAGCUGUCCUAGGUGGGGCAGGCAGGUCCCAGGCUCACGGAUUCUGUCCCCUAACCUAAUUCCUGGGGGUGCAGAGUCCAACCGCCGUGCAGCGCUUCCUGAUGGCCAUCCCCAUGGCCUGCCCGGCCACCUCCAAAGAGGCGAGGACACCCUGGCACCGCAUUGAUGCCAGGACACCGUGGUGGCCAAGAUCGUGAUGAGUGAGUUGCAGCAACCGGCAGCAGGGGACAGGAUACGUGGGGUGGACAGGAGCCCUGCCUAGGCCAUGUGAAUGGAUUCCCCACCUCCAUGGUCCUGGCCAACUGCCUCAGCACCGCCGACAGCCUCAGGAGCUCAGCCAGGCCCUGCCCGACAUCCUCACUGCCAGGAGCGGGUGGACUCCCGAGUGGAGGACGUGGCCAUUUAUGAUAUUGAAGAGCAGCUCCACACCCGGGACACGGUACAAACCUUUCCACAUGGGUGGGCCCGAGAUUGUCUGGCCCCUUCCCAGCACGUUCCCCACCUCCACCCCGCUCCCACGAAGGGCUUGUCCCUGGGGAUCCCCCUUGGGCUCCUUCUCCUGCAUGACCUGUGCCCCACAAGGUGGGGGCUCUUGUCAUGCACCAGCUGGG
Pelodiscus sinensis (Chinese soft-shelled turtle) is the source of this 1867-nucleotide non-coding RNA. The record is from RefSeq and is a predicted model, not a curated record. Lineage: Eukaryota; Metazoa; Chordata; Testudines; Trionychidae.